Molecule: transfer RNA, 67 nt
Filed under: Lentisphaeria bacterium
Lineage: Bacteria; Pseudomonadati; Lentisphaerota; Lentisphaeria
Also listed under: 1 other name
Description: tRNA-Lys
Rfam family: tRNA
About the family: Transfer RNA (tRNA) molecules are approximately 80 nucleotides in length. Their secondary structure includes four short double-helical elements and three loops (D, anti-codon, and T loops).
Source: RNAcentral
CGUAGCUCAGUCGGUAGAGCAGCUGACUCUUAAUCAGUUAAUUAUAUCUUCAAUUCCAAUCGUAUAU